UUUAUUUAUUUAUAUAUAUAUAUAUAUAUAUAUAUAUAUAUUUUUUUUUUUUAAAUGGGGUAGCCCCCAAAAUAUUGGGACAUAUAAAAAAAGACAACUCUGUUCCUCAGAGUAGCUGUUGAAAUUAUAGUUGCGCAGGCACUUUGAUGUCUCUAGAGAACCUCGGGCCAAUUGCACAUCCCCGUGGUGGCGACUUUGCAUGCGGAUGUCAUCCAUAUCAACUUUUGAUGCCAGUUUCUGCGGCUACCAUGGUGAGCGCAGGUAACGGGGAAUCAGGGUUCCAUUCCGUACAGGGACCCUGAGAAACGGUAACCACAUGCAAGGAAGGCAGCAGGUGUGCAAAUGACCCACUGCCGACCUGGGAAGGUAGUGACGACAAAUAACAAUACAGGACUCUUUAGAGGCCCUGUAAUUGUAAUGAGUCCACUUGAAAUCCUUUAACUCUGAUCAAUUGGAGGGAAGUCUGGUGCAGAGCCACUGACCUGUGCGUGCUGCAGCUGAAACUCCACUA
This 511-nucleotide ribosomal RNA is filed under the name Pelobates cultripes (western spadefoot toad). RNAcentral's name for it is "SSU_rRNA_eukarya". It matches the Rfam family "Eukaryotic small subunit ribosomal RNA", at positions 128 to 587 of the family's 1831-position model. Lineage: Eukaryota; Metazoa; Chordata; Amphibia; Anura; Pelobatidae. The record is from RNAcentral.